UGAGAAUAUAGAUCUCCGACCACUGACCAAACUCCACUUCAAGCAGUCCCGAGGACUGCUCUUCCCCUUGCCCAUGGACCUGUCUGCUCAGUCCCUGGAUCUCCCAGGAUCAUGCCGAAAAUUUUGCACUGGAACACAGCACUGGUACUUGCACAAAGUGGAUUUGGCACUUAAUGUCAGCAGCUUCCUUUCUGGGAAGAACCUCGGGAAUAACCAGGAGUGUGGGGAGUGCCUGAAUAACCUGCUGUGUCCCCAAAGUCCUCAAUCACUAGAGCACAGCAAGGGGUGAGUGAGAACCAGACAACACUCAGGAGCUCCAGGUCCACAGCAGCUGCACACCCACCACACACCCUCCUGUGUGACACAACCCUCCUGUCCACUGCCAGAGAAACAAAAACACAGCAGAAGGCAAGGCACAGGAACAUGGAAGCCUUCUACAUGAAAGGUUUGUUGCAUGGAUCCAGCAAAGGCAGGAGAUCACACGUCCCUACAGUUCCAGAGAGCCAUGGCCAGGACACUGCAGGGCCAAAUACCUGGCUCCCAGCUAACAAACAUGGGAAACUGCUAAUCAGCCAGAGUCACAGCACCCACCAUGCUGCCCAUGUUGGGGCAUCUCUCUCUUGAGCCCCAGAACUAACCUGGAGCCAUCGCCACCCACAAACCUGGUAUGUUCAUCCUUCACGAAGCAAAACAGAAACCAGAGACAUGGGGGUCCCAUCCGGUGGGGACCAGCAAUACCAGCGGGAAUGAGCAUGUUCUGGCAGCUCCAAAUCCACACUGGAGACCCUGUCAAUGCCCUUCAUUCACAUAAACUCUGCAGCGCUGGUUAUGCAGCUGCUUCUCUCCCUGCUGAAGUGCUGGGGGAGCAGGGGGGUACCUGGUGUUUCCUGGAACAGGUCGUAUCUGCUGCCAUUCAUCUUCCAGGGGCGCUCAGCUGCGUGGGCAGAGCUAGGGAUGUCUCGCCCCUGGAUGGGGCUGUGCAGCCGGCGAGCCCCGCGCGGGCAGCGGGGCACGAGCCAUGCCCAGGAGCUGCUUGUGCUGUAGAGGCAGGGACAGGCUAAUCCCUUAAUGCUGGUCACAAUGAGAUUUGAUGGGGAGCAGGAGUUUGUGCCGCAGAGCCGCAGGUUUUAAAGGGUUCUGGCCACUGCCCGGAGGAAAAUUCUAAGGUGGCUCUGGGUCUGUGCCCUGCUGCCAGUGCCCGCAGCAAUGCCCGCUGCUUUCUGGGCCACCUUUCUGAGGUCACUCACCCUCCUCUGCGGCUGCCACUGCGUUUCUUUAGGGCAGGGAGUACCUGACCAUCUGUGCAGCCCUGGAGGUUGAUCCAGAAAAUGUGCCUGGGUGUGUCUAACAGCAGGAGUGGGUCUGGCUCCUCUGGGAGAAGCUGACUGCUUUUGCUUUAAAGUGUUUCUAUAUAAAUAACCAGAACACCGUGUCCUUGAGCAACAAUCUUGUUUUCCCCUCCCAGCUAACAUCACAACACAGGAUGGCUCAGUGCAGAGGGGAGCAGGGACACUGCUGAACACCCAGAAUUUUCUUUUUUGCAGGAAGUGUGUUCUGGCAAGUGUGGGCCUGUUUCUAAUGGAGGAGGAAAAUGGUGUGAGGGAAUAGAGUGGCACUUCACUGGGGUUUCACAGGCACUGAGUGGAUUGCUGAAAGGGAGGCCUGGGCAUCUCUGAAUUCAGCCUUGGGCUACAUGGCUGUGACCCAACUAGAGCCAGGUCUUAUCAGCCUCUGUGUCCAGAAGAACCAAUUCAGCGACAGACCCACCUGAAACAACCAUUUCCCUGCAUUUUCCUUCCUCCUCAGAUGACUCUUUUCCUGCCAAGCCCACCUGUGCUUUUGCUGUGCCAAGGAGAAGAGAGCUCAUUCCCACCCUCCAGCCCAAGCACCACCUCAAAGGCACCAGUCUAAUGGAGCAAAAGCAUUCCCAAGCCAUUCCUGUCUCCACAAGCUUCUGCUUCCACUUGGAAUUCCCUGAGUUAUAUUUGAGUUAAUUUGGAGUGCCCACAGUCAGCAACUUCCAGAAUGCUGCUGGUGGGUCAGGAAUGGGGAGUGACCAGCAGCUCUGUCCCUCAGCUCUGUGCCCAGGGAGGGGACCAGCAGCAUCUGUCCCUCAGCUCUGUGCUGGCAACAGGGGCUGAUGCCCAACAUUCCCACGUGGAGCAGGGAGCAGCAUCAAGGGCAGGGCUGGGACUGAACUGUGUGUAACCCCAUGACACCUCCAUGCACCCCUGUGUUGCCACACAGGUUUUAGUGGCUGUAACAGGGAAACACACCCAAGUCAACAGACAUUUCUCCCAGACAAUGGCAGUCUCCAGGCACACACCCAUGGAUGAGCCACAGGCAGCACUUGGCUCUGCUUCCACCACCUCGGUCCCACCACCUUGGUGGCAGCAGACUCCAGGCAGGGGAGUAGCCAGGGCUGUGGAUCUGAAGCCCGGCUGUUUGUCCCUUGUCCCUCCUGCCUCCUUAUUCCACUCUUCAUUUUCUGUUGCCACCUUUGGCCUGCCAGCACUAAGCUCUGCAUGAGCCCUCAGGCAUCCAUCAGAGCUUUGUUCAUUCUUCCCUGCUGGGCCACUUCCACCUGAGCAUGUCCCUGGCACAGGACCUGCCCGGGCUGCAGUGGCUGCAGGUGAGAGGCUGCUGAGCUGGAUGGGGACCUGCAGCAGUUGUUACUUUACACCUUCUGCUGAGCCCCUGGUGCUGCCCUGUCCAUUAACCUGACACCAUGCCCAGCCUCACAGCCCAUGGCAAGAUUCCUUGGGUGGUGUUAGUGAAUCCUCUUCCCAGGCUGAGCUGCUGCUUUUCACCAGGGUGGUGGGGUGGCUGCUGCCAUCCCACCUGCUGGAUGGGCUGCAGGCAUUGUCCAGCUGGAUGGAAGCCAGGGCAGGCUGGAAUGCUGCAGAGGAGCAGCACCAGCCUCUUCUCAUGGGGUAUCAAGGCUUUGGGGACCCUGUGGCAAAAUGAUCAGCAUCCCUUUGGAACAGAGGGGGAGAGAAGUGGCUGAGUGGGGCAGGAGGAGCUGGGCUCUGACUCCAUGAAGGGCACUGGGCCAUAAACCCAGCACGGUGGCUGUCGUUUUUGUGUCGGCAAACACGUUGAGUGGGCUCGACUAUUGAUUCUGACCGUAUAAACCGGUGUUGUGGCACUUGUUCAGGUUUGUGCAGGUUUUACAGCUCUUGUUAUGAGAAGUGCCCAUGUAUUUGGUUUUGCUCCUUCCUUCAGGUCUAUGUGUUGACAUUGGCUCUCCUAACCAGAGCGUUGGACCAUGCCAAGAAGCCGAGUGUGUGUCUCUCCUUGUGUUUCCCACUUUACCAGGGGUUAUCACCUUUCAAAGCUCACACACACCCAUGGCUGGGACAGGUUUCUGGUGCAGAGGCAGGUGAAAGGUGUCUGCUGGUCCCCAGCACUGGCUGGUGGGUUUGGGUUCCCUGUGCUCAGUGACAGGAGAGGAACACCCACCCUGAUAGAUGGAUGAGCAAAGCUGCAGGGUUUGCAGACUUGUUGGGAUUUGUUGCAGACUGCCCUGGGAAGUCUGGAGUGGAAUGAACAAGGUCUGAGGUCUGUAGGGCUGUGAUGAAGAUCAGGCUGUCAAACCAACUUGCGAGUGCAGAGAAGGAGAAGAUGCUCCCAGAGCAUCAUCACAGAGGAUUUGGGCUAUGCCUGGUCACCUACAGUGGAGGCACACACUAUCACACAUUCCCUGCCUCCAAUCCUCUUCCCAGCAGGAGCUGCCAGCAGCAGUUGUGCCCUCAGGGACACCUUGGUGCUGGAGGCUCAAGGGCUUGAGCUCACAGUGAUGGUCCCCAUCUGUCUCUCAGCACCAGAGCUCCAUUACUGUGGGGAUGCAGCUGGAAUCCCUCUGGUGACUGCAGGAUUUUGGGAUAGGAAGUCUGGUCCAGCCUGGCAGAGCCAGGGUCUGUUUGCUCCUUGACUGCUGGUGCAUUUUCACAGCCACUUGCUCUGCAUGAGCUGCUCCUCCCACCCCUUUGGUGCAGCAUCCUGAGCCUACCUUUAUUUUUUGAGACAUGUAUUUCCUGAAGGGAUUUGCUGAGUAAUCUCUCUUGAUGCCCAGGCUGAAGCUUGGACAGGAGCCAUUCCUGGGAGUAAUUGCUUUUGGAACCCAGCUUUGCUCAGAGGCCCCGGUGCCUCUGCCCAGGACAGGAGGGCAGACCCCUCAGCCCCGGGUUCACCAUACAACCCCUACCUUCAAACUCGCCUUCCGUGAAAAUUCUGCAACAUUUGCCAUUUCCACAUACAUUUCUGCCAGGAACCUUGUUUGCUUGAAUAUUUGAGGAAAGCAAACAGAGAAGGAGCCUGAACACAAACAGUCAUGGAUGUUUUUUUGCAGUCUUUGCCCUGUUCUAACCCCAAGCCUGCCGGCAGGCAUCCCCUGAUGUACCCCUUGGCUCUGCCCUGUGUGCUGCCCUGUCCCCCACUGCUGGCCCUGGUCCUGCUGCAAAUACUGCUGUAUGUAAAAGAAACUCACCCAGCCCUUGCUGUCUGUGGGACCACCAUCACUCACACCCCUUUGCACUCAUGCUAAGUAAACAUUGUUUAAUGCCAUUUAAGAAAUGUCAGCAGAUGACUAACAGAGUACGACUGGCAGACCUACACCUGCCCUGCUGAGCUCAGAACAUCUCUCAGACACUCCUCAAGCCUUCCUGAGCCUCUUGCUGCUCACCUUCCAGAGCUGGAGCUCAUUUCCUGCUGACAGCAGCCCUCUGGGCUCACUCUCCCUAUAAAAAUACCAUUGUGUUUCAAGCUAAGCCCAAGUUGAGGGUGUGUUGCUGGCCCCAUAAAUGGCUGGAAUGAGGUGGGAGAAGUCACAGCCCUGUGGGUAAGUGCAGACACCCUGUGACACUGAGCAGCAUGCCCAGCUCUUCCCCAAGGGAACCUUCACCAAGCACCAGAAAACAGCUCUUGGGAGCAGACCAAGGUGCUAACACAGUGAUUGUCCCUUUUGCAUCCCAGCAAAUACCUGUGUUUAUUCCUGGCUGCACCAAUACUCUGCUCAGGCACUGGAACAUGCUGACCUUGCCAGCACCAGUGUUACAUCCACCCCAACAUCCAGCAGGGAUGGCCAGAGUGGGAACAAGGAGGGGGGAUGUGCCAGGUGUCCUAAGACCCAUCGGUCCCUGCUGGCUGCUAGGCCAUGGACACAGAGAACAAGGAGUAAACAGAGGAGUUAAAGAGCAGCUGACAUGAGCAGUCAAGGAGGAAAAGUUCAGUUGAGGUCAUUUCUAGAGGAAACCUGUAAAAAACUUGAUGUAUUUGGCAGUGAAAAUUAAAAAUACUCAGGAAA
Molecule: non-coding RNA, 5305 nt
Organism: Cyanistes caeruleus (blue tit)
Lineage: Eukaryota; Metazoa; Chordata; Aves; Passeriformes; Paridae
Source: RefSeq, a predicted model, not a curated record